GCAAGUCGAACGAGAACGGGAUAUAGUUUACUAUAUUUGUCAGCUAAGUGGCGCACGGGUGAGUAAUAUAUAGGUAACGUGCCCUAGAGAGGGGGAUAACAUUUGGAAACGAAUGCUAAUACCCCAUAUGCCUUUAAGUCUUAAGACUGCAAGGGAAAUAUUUAUAGCUCUAGGAUUGGCCUGUACGGUAUCAGUUUGUUGGUGAGGUAAUGGCUCACCAAGGCGACGAUCUCUAGCUGGUUUGAGAGGAUGAUC
RNAcentral lists this ribosomal RNA (255 nucleotides) under uncultured bacterium. RNAcentral describes it as "partial 16S ribosomal RNA". It matches the Rfam family "Bacterial small subunit ribosomal RNA", at positions 57 to 305 of the family's 1533-position model. The record is from RNAcentral.